This 68-nucleotide transfer RNA is filed under the name Phascolarctobacterium faecium. Its description in RNAcentral is "transfer RNA-Arg(ACG)". It matches the Rfam family "tRNA". From Rfam's summary of the family: Transfer RNA (tRNA) molecules are approximately 80 nucleotides in length. Their secondary structure includes four short double-helical elements and three loops (D, anti-codon, and T loops). Further hydrogen bonds mediate the characteristic L-shaped molecular structure. tRNAs have two regions of fundamental functional importance: the anti-codon, which is responsible for specific mRNA codon recognition, and the 3' end, to which the tRNAs corresponding amino acid is attached (by aminoacyl-tRNA synthetases). tRNAs cope with the degeneracy of the genetic code in two manners: having more than one tRNA (with a specific anti-codon) for a particular amino acid; and 'wobble' base-pairing, i.e. permitting non-standard base-pairing at the 3rd anti-codon position. The record is from RNAcentral. RNAcentral also lists the same sequence under 1 other name. Lineage: Bacteria; Bacillati; Bacillota; Negativicutes; Acidaminococcales; Acidaminococcaceae.
GACUCCGUAGCUCAGUUGGAUAGAGCGUUUGACUACGAAUCAAAAGGUCCAAAUUUUUGGUAUUACCA